RNAcentral lists this ribosomal RNA (468 nucleotides) under uncultured bacterium. RNAcentral's name for it is "partial 16S ribosomal RNA". It matches the Rfam family "Bacterial small subunit ribosomal RNA", at positions 28 to 507 of the family's 1533-position model. The record is from RNAcentral.
GACGAACGCUGGCGGCGUGCUUAACACAUGCAAGUCGAACGGAAAGGCCCUGCUUUUGUGGGGUGCUCGAGUGGCGAACGGGUGAGUAACACGUGAGUAACCUGCCCUUGACUUUGGGAUAACUUCAGGAAACUGGGGCUACUACCGGAUAGGAGCUUCUCCUGCACGGUGGGGGUUGGAAAGUUUCGGCGGUUGGGGAUGGAUUCGCGGCUUAUCAGCUCGUUGGUGGGGUAUUGGCUUACCAAGGCUUUGACGGGUAGCCGGCCUGAGAGGGUGACCGGCGACAUUGGGACUGAGAUACGGCCCAGACUCCUACGGGAGGCAGCAGUGGGGAAUAUUGCACAGUGGGCGGAAGCCUGAUGCAGCAACGCCGCGUGCGGGAUGACGGCCUUCGGGUUGUAAACCGCUUUCGCCUGUGACGAAGCGUGAGUGACGGUAAUGGGUAAAGAAGCACCGGCUAACUACGUG